AAUGCAUGACGCCGUUGACUUUUUGUCCAACGUUUGACCAUUCGUCUUAUUAAAAAAAAAUGUAACUAUCAAUUAUUUUGUGGUGACUUGAUUCGUCAUCGAAUGUUCUUUAAGCAUGACAUAAAUAUUUUGAUAUUUGCACAAAAAUUUUGAAUAAAACGAAUGGUCAAACGUUGGUCGAAAAGUCAACGGCGUCAUACAUU
RNAcentral lists this microRNA precursor (203 nucleotides) under Oryza meridionalis. Its description in RNAcentral is "MIR812 microRNA precursor family". It matches the Rfam family "MIR812 microRNA precursor family". Lineage: Eukaryota; Viridiplantae; Streptophyta; Magnoliopsida; Poales; Poaceae. The record is from Rfam by way of RNAcentral.